GUACUUGCUUUGGCAGUACAUAUACUAAAAUUAGAACAAUACAGAGAAGAUUAGCAUGGCCCCUGCACAAGAAUGACAUACCUGGGUCAGUUUUCCAACUGAAACCU
Suncus etruscus (white-toothed pygmy shrew) is the source of this 107-nucleotide small nuclear RNA. The record is from RefSeq and is a predicted model, not a curated record. NCBI's taxonomy places the organism in Eukaryota, Metazoa, Chordata, Mammalia, Eulipotyphla, Soricidae.